This is a long non-coding RNA of Dendroctonus ponderosae (mountain pine beetle), 790 nucleotides long. RefSeq lists it as uncharacterized. The transcript is spliced from 2 exons. Lineage: Eukaryota; Metazoa; Arthropoda; Insecta; Coleoptera; Curculionidae. The record is from RefSeq and is a predicted model, not a curated record.
GUUGCUACAUUCGUCGCUUUUACAAUGAAGCAGAUAAAAAUCGUAUAAAAAGUAAAUCGAUUUGCAAAUGAAAUUUCCUACUUUAAACUAACAUUGUUUCAAAAUUAAAGUACUUACGUUUGGAUACCGCAAGCCUCCAUCCUUCCAGCAUUUUAAUCGCACGAAAGUAAAAGACAAUAUCACAGAAAACUUAAUCCAGUACUUUGCACCUACACUUUCUUCAUAACCAAGUGCCGGAUCUCGUCAAGCUUAUGAGGUCUAAACCAAUUUUCUGCACUCACAAUUUCACAACUUACGAAAAAUUUCAAUAAAGUGAUUUUAAUUAGGUACUGCCUUACCAGCACUAUACAGUCCGUACGACUGUAGUGAAAUGACUGGAGUACUGCAGGUUUAAUUUACUUAUAUCACUAGUGCAAAACUUCUACCUGUCCAUAGAUGAACCUCUCUACUCAUAGAACCUCUCCACGGAACUUAUGAUCAUGUAGCAUCAUGAUGCUACGAUGUUUUUAUAAAUUUUUUUAUAUGUUUCCAAAUAUUCCACUCAGCGCUGAUUAAAUUGAAAACUAGUUAAAAACACAUGUUUUCUAAUUACAAAUUAAAUUUAAAGAAACUAAUGCUAAUGCAAAAACAUAAGCUAAGGACACUAUUUGGAAAUGAGUAGACAUUCUUUAUAUUUACUAAUACCUAUUAGGUAUUACUAGAGGUUUUUUGAAAAAUUCAUACUAAUAUGUAAUAAAGAUGCACACGAAAGUUGACUUCGUCUGCUUAUAACAGACAGUAAUUGAUAAUU